RNAcentral lists this ribosomal RNA (567 nucleotides) under uncultured bacterium. RNAcentral describes it as "bacterial SSU rRNA". It matches the Rfam family "Bacterial small subunit ribosomal RNA", at positions 338 to 916 of the family's 1533-position model. The record is from RNAcentral.
CCUACGGGAGGCAGCAGUGGGGAAUAUUGCACAAUGGGCGGAAGCCUGACGCAGCGACGCCGCGUGAGGGAUGAAGGCCUUCGGGUUGUAAACCUCUUUCAGCAGGGACGAAGCGUGAGUGACGGUACCUGCAGAAGAAGCACCGGCUAACUACGUGCCAGCAGCCGCGGUAAUACGUAGGGUGCGAGCGUUGUCCGGAAUUACUGGGCGUAAAGAGUUCGUAGGCGGUUUGUCGCGUCGUUUGUGAAAACCCGGGGCUCAACUUCGGGCUUGCAGGCGAUACGGGCAGACUUGAGUGUUUCAGGGGAGACUGGAAUUCCUGGUGUAGCGGUGAAAUGCGCAGAUAUCAGGAGGAACACCGGUGGCGAAGGCGGGUCUCUGGGAAACAACUGACGCUGAGGAACGAAAGCGUGGGUAGCAAACAGGAUUAGAUACCCUGGUAGUCCACGCCGUAAACGGUGGGCGCUAGGUGUGGGUUCCUUCCACGGGAUCUGUGCCGUAGCUAACGCAUUAAGCGCCCCGCCUGGGGAGUACGGCCGCAAGGCUAAAACUCAAAUGAAUUGACGG